Molecule: long non-coding RNA, 99 nt
Organism: Melitaea cinxia (Glanville fritillary)
Lineage: Eukaryota; Metazoa; Arthropoda; Insecta; Lepidoptera; Nymphalidae
Exons: 3
Source: RefSeq, a predicted model, not a curated record
GUAGGUGGUGUAUAAUAAACGUACAUCAAACAGAAUAAGAUACAAAUGAUACAAAUAAAUUGUAUACAAUAACUUAACUAAAUACAAUAAACUUUAUUG